GUCCUUAUUCACAUUCCGUUGGAGGAGACAACACAUACUGAAGGCCUCAACUGCAAAUUUAGAUGGAAAAGUCCUACGGUCCUCAGAGUGCAAGCAGCAAAGUGGACGUGCCAAGGACUUUCAUGGAGAAAUCUUCCUCUUCUGAGUCUUUGACUGGGGCUAAGGCUGGGGGUGUAGUCCCCUCACAAGCAGUUGCCAGGCUGCAUCUUCACAUGGGUUGCUUCUUGACAAAAUGGUGGCCAGAAACAGAACCAGUCUGAAGGAAGCUGCCACUCCUGAGGCUCUGGGACUAUGUACCUAGCAGUGGGAUAUCUACUCAAAGGGUAUGGGCAUAGUCAUCAAAGUCCAGUGGCAAGACAAAAGUCAAGGUGACCGGAGAUGGCCCAGGAUAUAGUGGAUGACCUCAGCAUCUCUGAUAUCUGACCAGGCUCUAAGCUCUCCCCAGAGCCUUCUUCAGCCGCCUUCAUGGCUGUCAGAACAAAUUAUUCUCAUCUGCCCAUUCUGCCAGGGGAAGUGCUUGGGGUGGAUAUCCCCAUUCUAUGAUGGGUUUGAGGCCCUUUGAUUACCUCAACCAGCUAUAAACUGUCUGCCAAGAAGGCAUUAUGUGGGUGUGGCUGCUGUUUAUGUUAAAGCUUCUUGGAGCCAAAGGUGACGAUUGAGUGCCAGGUGGACACCAAAGGUGGAUGAGCAGCUGGCAAGCCCUCACACCGGAGGUGCCAGUCUUCCUGAACACUCUAUACACCCCAACACUCAUGGGAUGGUUUGAGGCUAGAGAUGAAUGGCAAAUGUACUGUCUAAAAUUUUAUUAAUAACUUGAAUAUCAUGUAUGUGUCUGUAUAUAAUACAUUUAU
Long non-coding RNA from Phascolarctos cinereus (koala), 851 nucleotides. RefSeq lists it as uncharacterized. NCBI's taxonomy places the organism in Eukaryota, Metazoa, Chordata, Mammalia, Diprotodontia, Phascolarctidae. The record is from RefSeq and is a predicted model, not a curated record.